AGGAAGGAGGGAGCCAGCAGAAUCAGCUAUAGUAAUGGCAGAGCAACAAACACUCACAGUCUUUCAAUGCUCAGCCCAGACAGACAGACAAUCUUUCAAUGCCCCUCCAUUUCCCACCGAUGAACAGAAUCCGAUCGGGUGGAAUUGAGUGCACAGAAAGAGGAAGACUGAUUGGUUCUUGCUGACUGUUGCCUCAGCUCCAUGGAUCCUCCUAGAAGUUGAGCCCUCAGCUCCUGGCCUUCACCCCAAGUUUCCUGCCCUCUGAUCUCUGCUACCACCAUAGCUGUGGUCUUUACAUUAGCUGCACCCUGGGCUGUCAGCAUACUCCCUCACUGGCCUUCCACCCUCUGUUGCCCUGAGUGGAUACCACUGAAGUCCUAGGAAGCUAUGAUUGCUUCUUCUCUGUGUGCAUGCACACAAACUUCCCCAACAUGCACGAACCACGUAACAGCAAACAGAACAUACCUGAAAUACUUUAAAGUUAGACUAGUCUAAAGGAACUCCCUUGUCUAAGAUAAAUCAUGCCAUUAAAAAUAGCCUCCCGGGCUGGAGAGAUGGUUCUGUGGUUAAGAGCACUGACUGGGGGCUGGGGAUUUAGCUCAGUGGUAGAGCACUUGCCUAGCAAGCGCAAGGCCCUGGGUUUGGUCCCCAGCUCCAAAAAAAAAGAAAAAAAAAAAAAAAAAAGCACUGACUGCUCUUCUAGAGGCCCUUAGUUCAACUCCUAGCAACCACAUGGUGGCUCACAACUAUCUGUAACGGGAUCUGAUGCCCUCUUCUGGUGUGUCUGAAGACAGCUACACUGUACUUAGAUAUUAAUAAAUAAAGAAAUCUUUAAAAAAAA
Molecule: long non-coding RNA, 841 nt
Organism: Rattus norvegicus (Norway rat)
Lineage: Eukaryota; Metazoa; Chordata; Mammalia; Rodentia; Muridae
Source: RefSeq, a predicted model, not a curated record